RNAcentral lists this ribosomal RNA (468 nucleotides) under uncultured bacterium. RNAcentral describes it as "partial 16S ribosomal RNA". It matches the Rfam family "Bacterial small subunit ribosomal RNA", at positions 28 to 507 of the family's 1533-position model. The record is from RNAcentral.
GACGAGCGCUGGCGGCGUGCUUAACACAUGCAAGUCGAACGGAAAGGCCCUGCUUUUGUGGGGUGCUCGAGUGGCGAACGGGUGAGUAACACGUGAGUAACCUGCCCUUGACUUUGGGAUAACUUCAGGAAACUGGGGCUAAUACCGGAUAGGAGCUCCUGCUGCAUGGUGGGGGUUGGAAAGUUUCGGCGGUUGGGGAUGGACUCGCGGCUUAUCAGCUUGUUGGUGGGGUAGUGGCUUACCAAGGCUUUGACGGGUAGCCGGCCUGAGAGGGUGACCGGCGACAUUGGGACUGAGAUACGGCCCAGACUGCUACGGGAGGCAGAAGUGGGGAAUAUUGCACAGUGGGCGGGAGCCUGAUGCAGCAACGCCGCGUGCGGGAUGACGGCCCUCGGGUUGUAAACCGCUUUCGCCUGUGACGAAGCGUGAGUGACGGUAAUGGGUAAAGAAGCACCGGCUAACUACGUG